AGGACAAACGCUGGCGGCGUGCCUAAAACAUGCAAGUCGUACGGUCCUUCGGGACAGUGGCGGACGGCUGAGUAACACGUAGGUAACCUACCCAGGAGUGGGGAAUAACUCUCCGAAAGGAGAGCUAAUACCGCAUACGACCGCAUAUCCCCGGGUGUGCGAGGAAAGCCGAAAGGCGCUCUUGGAGGGGCCUGCGUCCGAUUAGCUAGUUGGUGGGGUAAAAGCCUACCAAGGCGACGAUCGGUAGCUGGUCUGAGAGGAUGAUCAGCCAGACUGGGACUGUGACACGGCCCAGACUCCUACGGGAGGCAGCAGUUAGGAAUCUUGGGCAAUGGGCGAAAGCCUGACCCAGCAACGCCGCGUGGGUGACGAAGGCCUUCGGGUCGUAAAGCCCUUUUGCACGGGAGAUAAUGACGGUACCGUGCGAAUAAGCCCGGCUAACUACGCGCCAGCAGCCGC
This 459-nucleotide ribosomal RNA is filed under the name uncultured bacterium. RNAcentral's name for it is "SSU rRNA". It matches the Rfam family "Bacterial small subunit ribosomal RNA", at positions 26 to 518 of the family's 1533-position model. The record is from RNAcentral.